RNAcentral lists this transfer RNA (66 nucleotides) under Myrmus lateralis. Its description in RNAcentral is "tRNA-Ile". Lineage: Eukaryota; Metazoa; Arthropoda; Insecta; Hemiptera; Rhopalidae. The record is from RNAcentral.
AAUAAGGUGCCUGAUUAAAGGGCUAUCUUGAUAGGAUAGAUCAUGCAAUGAAAAUUGCCCUUAUUA